RNAcentral lists this ribosomal RNA (465 nucleotides) under uncultured bacterium. Its description in RNAcentral is "partial 16S ribosomal RNA". It matches the Rfam family "Bacterial small subunit ribosomal RNA", at positions 28 to 506 of the family's 1533-position model. The record is from RNAcentral.
GACGAACGCUGGCGGCGUGCUUAACACAUGCAAGUCGAACGGAAAGGCCUCUUUCGGGGGGUACUCGAGUGGCGAACGGGUGAGUAACACGUGAGUAACCUGCCCUUGACUUUGGGAUAACUUCAGGAAACUGGGGCUAAUACCGGAUAGGAGCUCCUGCUGCAUGGUGGGGGUUGGAAAGUUUCGGCGGUUGGGGAUGGACUCGCGGCUUAUCAGCUUGUUGGUGGGGUAGUGGCUUACCAAGGCUUUGACGGGUAGCCGGCCUGAGAGGGUGACCGGCCACAUUGGGACUGAGAUACGGCCCAGACUCCUACGGGAGGCAGCAGUGGGGAAUAUUGCACAAUGGGCGGAAGCCUGAUGCAGCAACGCCGCGUGCGGGAGGACGGCCUUCGGGUUGUAAACCGCUUUCGCCUGUGACGAAGCGUGAGUGACGGUAAUGGGUAAAGAAGCACCGGCUAACUACGU